Molecule: ribosomal RNA, 460 nt
Filed under: uncultured bacterium
Lineage: Bacteria
Description: partial 16S ribosomal RNA
Rfam family: Bacterial small subunit ribosomal RNA
Source: RNAcentral
CCUACGGGAGGCAGCAGUGAGGAAUAUUGGUCAAUGGACGAAAGUCUGAACCAGCGAUGCCGCGUGCAGGAAGAAGGCCCUAUGAGUUGUAAACUGCUUUUGUACGAGGGAAAACGCAGAAACGCGGAUCUGUCUGAAAGUAUCGUACGAAUAAGGAUCGGCUAACUCCGUGCCAGCAGACGCGGUAAUACGGAGGGUUCAAGCGUUAUCCGGAUUUAUUGGGUUUAAGGGGUGCGUAGGCGGUCGGAUAAGUUAGAGGUGAAAUCCCGGGGCUCAACUUCGGAAUUGCCUCUGAUACUGUUCGGCUAGAGAGUAGUUGCGGUAGGCGGAAUGUAUGGUGUAGCGGUGAAAUGCUUAGAGAUCAUACAGAACACCGAUUGCGAAGGCAGCUUACCAAGCUACUUCUGACGUUGAGGCACGAAAGCGUGGGGAGCAAACAGGAUUAGAUACCCGGGUAGUC